Molecule: ribosomal RNA, 279 nt
Filed under: uncultured bacterium
Lineage: Bacteria
Description: partial 16S ribosomal RNA
Rfam family: Bacterial small subunit ribosomal RNA
Source: RNAcentral
UGCCAGCAGCCGCGGUAACACGAACUGCGCAAACGUUAUUCGGAAUCACUGGGCUUAAAGAGUGCGUAGGCGGCCUGACAGGUGAGGUGUGAAAUCCCUCGGCUCAACCGAGGAACUGCGCUUCAAACCGUUAGGCUUGAGGGAGAUAGAGGUGAGCGGAACUGAUGGUGGAGCGGUGAAAUGCAUUGAUAUCAUCAGGAACACCGGUGGCGAAGGCGGCUCACUGGGUCUCUUCUGACGCUGAGGCACGAAAGCUAGGGGAGCGAACGGGAUUAGAUA